CGGUAAUACAGAGGUGGCAAGCGUUGUUCGGAAUUACUGGGCGUAAAGGGCGCGUAGGCGGCCCGCCAAGUCCCGUGUGAAAGCCCUCGGCUCAACCGAGGAACGGCGCGGGAAACUAGCAGGCUUGAGUUCGGGAGAGGGAAGCGGAAUUCCGGGUGUAGCGGUGAAAUGCGCAGAUAUCCGGAGGAACACCGGUGGCGAAGGCGGCUUCCUGGACCGACACUGACGCUGAGGCGCGAAAGCUAGGGGAGCAAACGGGAUUAGAUACCCCGGUAGUCCUAGCCCUAAACGAUGAGAACUGGGUGUAGAGGGUAUGAACCCCUUCUGUGCCGAAGCUAACGCAUUAAGUUCUCCGCCUGGGGAGUACGGUCGCAAGGCUGAA
RNAcentral lists this ribosomal RNA (382 nucleotides) under uncultured bacterium. RNAcentral describes it as "bacterial SSU rRNA". It matches the Rfam family "Bacterial small subunit ribosomal RNA", at positions 518 to 898 of the family's 1533-position model. The record is from RNAcentral.